This 3187-nucleotide unclassified non-coding RNA is filed under the name Amphibalanus amphitrite. RNAcentral describes it as "synaptic vesicle 2-related protein-like, transcript variant X2". Lineage: Eukaryota; Metazoa; Arthropoda; Thecostraca; Balanomorpha; Balanidae. The record is from RNAcentral.
UGUAAAUGUUAUAUUAUUUAGGGCCUUGGUUAUAUUAUUCUUCUUGUGGUAGUGUGUGUGUGAAUACACGGUGCAAAUUCUCGUGGAAAAUUUUGAUAAAAUUGCUGUUACUCAUGAAUCAAGAUAUUAAACAGUAGCUCAUCUGUCAUUGAAAAUAUUCAUAGACAUCAUUCAUGUGAAAAGGUUCCACAAUGCCAGCGUAGCAUCCCACCGUCCCAGCGAUGCCGCGCAUCCGCUCGUCCAGCUCGGGGAGCGGCUAUGAGGACCUGUCGUCUCUGGCGGGUAGCGUGGCGCCCGGCUCGCUGCUCAGCCAGGUGCGCGGCGUGCGUGAUCCCGGCGACGAGCUCGAGAUGACCGCAUCCACCGCCGGCGUUGUGCCUGAUGACACAUUCACCGUGGACCAGGCAGUGAACGCCAUCGGUUUCGGACGCUUCCAAGUGCGCCUCUCACUCAUCACGGGCCUCUGCUGGAUGGCCGACUCGAUGGAGAUGAUGAUCCUCUCGAUUCUAUCUCCGGCCGUCCAGUGCACGUGGCGCAUAUCCGAGUGGCGUCAGGCGUUCAUCACCACGGUCGUCUUCCUCGGCAUGAUGCUCAGCUCGCCGUUCUGGGGAAAAUUCAGCGACAAGUACGGGCGGAAAACGACGCUGGUGCUGUCUGGCUCGUUCCUGUUCUUCUACGGGUUCCUGUCAGCGUUUGCGCCUACCUAUGUCUGGCUGCUGCUGCUGCGGGGCCUGGUUGGCUUCUGCGUCGGAGCCAUACCUCAGGCUGUUACACUUUAUGCUGAGUACUUGCCUGUGAAGCAGCGAGGAAAGUGCGUUAUUUUAUUGGAGUGUUUCUGGGCGCUGGGAGCCUGUAUGGAGGUGCUGCUGGCCCUGUUUGUGAUGCCCACACUGGGCUGGAAGUGGCUGCUGGGCCUCUCGUCACUGCCUCUGCUGCUAUUCACCCUCAUAUGUCCGUGGUUACCGGAGAGCGCGCGGUUCCACGCGGCCAGCGGACAGUCAGAGCGCGCGCUGAGCACCCUCAAACGGAUGGCAGACGACAACGGCAAGCCGAUGCUGCUCGGCCGGCUGAUCGUAGAUGACGUGAGCACUGUGCGGCGCGGAGCGCUGAGGGACCUGCUGGUGCCCGAGCUGCGCACCACCACACUGCUGCUCUGGUUCAUAUGGUGGGCCAGCGCGUUCUGUUACUACGGCAUUGUCCUGAUGACCACGGAGCUGUUUGAACUAUCCGAGGAGGAUCUGUGCAGCGCGCCGCAGGGAUGGGAGGGAGCCGAGGUAUGUCAGGCGUCGUGUAAGCCGCUACAGCAGGAGGACUACAUUGACCUGCUCUGGACCACACUGGCGGAGUUCCCAGGUAUUUUCUUUACACUACUGAUAAUCGAGAAGUUCGGGCGAAAGAAAACGAUGGCGACCGAGUUUUUCAUCUACACUCUGGCCAUCCUAACGCUGUUCUUCUGCGUGAAGAGCCGAGCCGUGCUUACCGUAACUCUGUUCGUGUGUCGCGGGAUGAUCGCCGGCAUGUUCCAAGCGGCCUACGUCUACACUCCAGAGGUGUACCCGACCACGCUGCGGUCGAUCGGCGUCGGCUCCUGCAGCGGCUUUGCCCGACUCGGCGCCAUGCUGACCCCGCUCAUAGCUCAGUUUACCCGCACCUCGGUGCGUUACACUGCCGUCACAUACAGCGCCACCUCCCUACUGGCCGGCCUGGCGGUUCUCUGUGUCAAACCGACCUCCAAGGUUAUGCAGUAGGGUGAUUCGGAGCGUGUCCGUCCUACUCCGUGCCUACUCCUGAGCCGACCUAUCCUCUUCCCGACCACAGCUCCGAAACGGCAGGUUCUCAUCUACCGGUCUCCGUUCGCGUCCGUGAUCGUGUACGCGUUCGUGGCCAUGACCGCCGGCCUGGCGUGUCUGCUGCUGCCGAUCGAGACGCGUGGCCGACCUCUGCAGAGCAGCCUCUCCGCCGCGGAGUUCCAGUGAGCGCGACUGUCUGGUCGCGGUCGCGGUCGUGGCCGACCUCUGCAGAGCAGCCUCUCCACCGCCGAGUUCCAGUGAGCGCGGCUGUCUGGUCGCAGCCGACCUCCGCAGAGGAGCCUGUCUACCGCGGAGUUCGAGUGAGCGUGGCUGUCUGACCGUGGCCGACCCCUGCAGAGGAGCCUAUCCAGCUCUGACCUACAGUGAGCACGACUGUCCACCACCAGCGGACCCGGCCCGUAUUACGCCAUUACACCCUGUUCGGUUCGGAACUGGCAGCGAAAGACGGCUCGGCGGCGUCAUGUCGGCCUGUGUGCUGUGAGGGAGUGGUAACAUCGCCGAACGAUAACCGAACGAACCGUGCUUCCUGAGUGGAGGUGGAGUUUUGGUCCGGGCGGGGAGUGAUGUUUACAACGAAUCUCGAUGUCGAACAAACGCUACGUGAGCUUGUAUAUUUAAUCAACAGCGAGAACGUCUUGCGGUGAUUGUGCCUUGGAGCAUGAGUGCUGUAUCACUUAUGAAGUGAAAUUGGUGUGGGAGCGUCUUUACGUCAUGUUGAUUUUUAAAUGUCUACGUGUUGUGUAAAUUUCGAUGAGACAUCUUCAAAUUAAGCCCACGGCCGCUGCAUAACCCGCACUUUUCUCUGAGAGGAUUUAACAACAUUAAGCAGGGUGUACUUACCAAAAGCGAUUCGAUUGUCUUUUAAAUGUAAUAUUAUUGUGUGAUGAAUCCGGCAUAGUUCCUCAGUACUUUUCAUGCCCUGCUCCGCGGCAACUGAAUGCAUUCGUUAUUGAGCGGGCGGCGACGGCGGAAUCUGUACUGAUGGACCCCAUUACCGAGUCGUUAGCAAGUCUUGUUUUGAUUCCGACCAAAGGUCCACGAGCGGUCUCCUGUUGCGAGUUUGCUCAGCUCUUUUUCGCAGUGAAUGGCAGUUGAACUAUCGCGCUUUCUUCACGUUGAACGCUGGGUUGGUGUGCGGUGUACGACUUGGCAGCUAUUCUUGGUACGUGAUAUCACUCAUCUUUCACGAGCAGUUAGAUGGCACACUAUUUUAAACAAAGUUGCUCAAUUUUGUACUAUAUUUUGUCCCCUUUGCACCUUUUGCGCGGUUUCUUUCGUCUGAUAACUGCGUUGUUCUAAUUAUUUAUAGUUUAUUUUGUUGUUUAUUAUUGUAAAUGGUGCAGGCAAUAAAUUGAUGACGUGAACUUGUCAUAUAA